RNAcentral lists this long non-coding RNA (883 nucleotides) under Phoenix dactylifera (date palm). RNAcentral describes it as "long non-coding RNA (PDAC_LNC004168)". Lineage: Eukaryota; Viridiplantae; Streptophyta; Magnoliopsida; Arecales; Arecaceae. The record is from RNAcentral.
CAACGGUAUUGUGCGAGAGUAUAGAAUCGGAAGACUUGUAGGCCGGUAAGAGCAAGAGAAGGUACUGACUAAUUGUGUGAUAUUUUGCAUGCAUUGAGUUCUUCAUUUGAAAAGAUUUGAAGUUUAAAUUCAUUUGGAAACAUCUUUCUUGAUGGACUUUGUUUUCUCGAUUAGAACCCAAGAUAGCAAUAAUGCUACUUUUUGUGUGAAAGCCAGCAUAGGAUUUGUGGGCAAUCCUUGGCCCAAAAUUGGGACGGCUAUGAAAUAUUGAUUCAAAAGUAAUUUCCUGAUGCUCAUUCAUCUUCUUCACGAGCCACGUUUCUAUUAGGUAUAUUCAUAGCAUCAUCUGACUCCAUUCAAAAUGCCCUAGGACAUUCAUUAAGAGCAAAAUCCUUAUUAUCCUAGACUAGAAAAAGAAAAUAGUCAAACAUUUGAUCAAGAAAUUAUAAAAUUAGCCAUUUUAUCUCGUUGAUGAAUUUUCUAGAUGAAAACUAUUGCUAAAGUGUAUGAGAAGCAGAUUCCAAGAUUAGACCCCAAAUUUUAAGUUUUCUUGCAUAGUUUCCAAUUAUGGAAACAUCAGUCUUGAGGCCAUGAUCACCAUGCAAAUAUUGUUGUUGGCUUCCGUAGAAGCGAAGCUUGCAGAGGAACUAACACGUCCAAUUGUCAUGCCCCAAUCCAUCAACAUGAAUCGGGCUGAUAUAUGGCUGCACAUCCAGGGUUUGGCCCCAAAAGGCAUUUGCCAAAAUUUUUAAUUCCAAAAGUAGAUCCUCCAUCCAACAAUGAACAGGCAAUGACAAUUAGAGUAUCUCUACACUCCAUCAUAACAAUUUAAACAAUCAAAUCUUAAUAAUUUAGAAAUCAUUUUGGUCAAACAUUCAAGAAU